CUGGUGUAGUUUCCAUUGGCGUCUUGUAGCCCCUGGAGAAUGCGCUCUCUCAGAACCAGAACAGAAACACGGAGCUGGUGCCAGAGUAGUUGUACUGUAUGGAUAUCGACUAUCACAUUGACAGAGUAUGAGAGAAGCUUCAGGGAAAACUCAGUCUCUAGUAGAGCAUGAAUUUGUUCAACAUGAUCAGAUAUAUCUUCACAAAUAUCCUGAGUGACUGUGCAGGUCAAGUUUAGGCCUGUCAGUUCUUCC
Molecule: long non-coding RNA, 252 nt
Filed under: Gallus gallus (chicken)
Lineage: Eukaryota; Metazoa; Chordata; Aves; Galliformes; Phasianidae
Source: RNAcentral